AUUUGGUAGCAUGUGAUGAACUGUAAAUUCUUGAUAGGAAGGGUAUGAAACAUAAUGAGUACCAUAAACUAUGCUGAACUAACU
Molecule: non-coding RNA, 84 nt
Organism: Stomoxys calcitrans (stable fly)
Lineage: Eukaryota; Metazoa; Arthropoda; Insecta; Diptera; Muscidae
Source: Rfam